GCAGACACAUCAUUCCACCUUGGCAAAGAUACACUCUGUCACCCACAUAUGACAUUUGAUUGCUUCCCGGAUCUAUGGACUUGAAUGUGUGCUGGCACUUCCUCAGUCUGCCACGAAUGUUAAAGAAUAACAGAUGUAACCCUGCAAACCUUCAACCAAUUCAGCAAGUUCACUGUGAACAUGUCUCAGUGGAAUCAAGUCCAACAAUUAGAAAUCAAAUUUUUGGAGCAAGUAGAUCAAUUCUACGAUGACAACUUUCCUAUGGAAAUUCGACAUCUGUUGGCUCAGUGGAUUGAAAAUCAAGACUGGGAGGCGGCUUCCAAUAAUGAAACCAUGGCAACAAUUCUUCUUCAAAACUUGUUAAUACAGCUGGAUGAACAGUUAGGUCGUGUUUCCAAAGAGAAAAACCUGCUCUUGAUACACAAUCUAAAAAGAAUCAGGAAAGUCCUUCAGGGAAAAUUUCAUGGAAAUCCAAUGCACGUAGCUGUGGUUAUUUCGAAUUGUUUAAGGGAAGAGAGGAGAAUAUUGGCUGCAGCCAACAUGCCCAUUCAGGGACCUCUGGAGAAAUCCUUACAAAGUUCUUCAGUUUCAGAAAGGCAGAGGAAUGUGGAGCACAAAGUGGCUGCCAUUAAAAAUAGUGUGCAGAUGACAGAACAAGACACCAAAUAUUUAGAAGAUCUUCAAGAUGAAUUUGACUACAGGUAUAAAACAAUUCAGACAAUGGAUCAGGGGGACAAGAACAAUGCCCUAAUGAAUCAGGAAGUUUUGACUCUGCAAGAAAUGCUUAACAGUCUCGACUUCAAGAGAAAGGAAGCCCUCAGUAAGAUAACCCAAAUAGUAAACGAAACGGACUUGUUAAUGAACAGCAUGCUGAUGGAAGAGCUGCAGGACUGGAAGAGGAGACAGCAGAUCGCCUGCAUUGGCGGGCCGCUCCACAAUGGGCUCGACCAGCUUCAAAACUGCUUUACACUGUUGGCAGAAAGUCUGUUUCAACUCAGAAGGCAAUUGGAGAAAUUAGAGGAACAGUCUACUAAAAUGACAUAUGAAGGAGACCCCAUCCCCAUGCAAAGAGCACAUCUGCUAGAAAGAGUCACCUUCUUGAUCUACAACCUUUUUAAGAACUCAUUUGUGGUUGAACGACAGCCAUGCAUGCCAACCCAUCCCCAGAGACCGAUGGUACUUAAAACUCUUAUUCAGUUCACUGUAAAGCUAAGACUACUAAUAAAAUUGCCAGAACUAAACUAUCAGGUAAAGGUGAAAGCAUCAAUUGACAAGAACGUUUCAACUCUAAGCAAUCGAAGAUUUGUCCUUUGUGGAACUCAUGUCAAAGCCAUGUCCAUUGAAGAAUCUUCUAACGGGAGUCUCUCGGUAGAAUUUCGACAUUUGCAACCAAAGGAAAUGAAGUCCAGUGCUGGAGGCAAAGGAAAUGAGGGCUGUCACAUGGUAACUGAAGAGCUUCAUUCUAUAACCUUUGAAACACAGAUCUGCCUCUAUCGCCUGACCAUAGAUUUGGAGACCAGCUCAUUACCUGUGGUGAUGAUUUCCAAUGUCAGUCAGUUACCUAAUGCUUGGGCAUCCAUCAUUUGGUACAAUGUGUCAACCAAUGAUUCCCAGAACUUAGUUUUCUUUAAUAAUCCUCCAUCUGCCACUUUGAGUCAACUCCUGGAAGUGAUGAGCUGGCAGUUUUCAUCCUAUGUCGGCCGUGGCCUAAACUCAGAUCAACUCAAUAUGUUAGCAGAGAAGCUUACAGUCCAGUCUAGCUACAACGAUGGUCAUCUCACCUGGGCCAAGUUCUGCAAGGAACACUUACCUGGUAAAUCAUUUACCUUUUGGACAUGGCUUGAAGCAAUAUUGGAUCUAAUUAAGAAACACAUUCUUCCUCUUUGGAUAGAUGGGUAUGUCAUGGGCUUUGUUAGCAAAGAGAAGGAGCGCCUCUUGCUAAAGGAUAAGAUGCCUGGAACCUUUUUGUUAAGAUUCAGUGAAAGCCACCUUGGAGGAAUAACUUUCACCUGGGUAGACCAUUCUGAAAAUGGAGAAGUGCGAUUCCACUCUGUAGAACCCUACAAUAAAGGCCGAUUGUCUGCUCUACCGUUCGCCGACAUCCUUCGAGACUACAAGGUUAUUAUGGCUGAAAACAUUCCCGAAAACCCUCUGAAGUACCUUUAUCCUGACAUUCCCAAAGACAAAGCCUUCAGUAAACACUACAGCUCCCAACCCUGUGAAGUUUCAAGACCAACAGAAAGGGGGGACAAAGGUUAUGUUCCAUCUGUUUUUAUACCCAUUUCAACAAUCCGAAGUGAUUCAACUGAGCCACGUUCUCCAUCAGAUCUUCUUCCCAUGUCUCCAAGCGUAUAUGCGGUGCUGAGGGAAAACCUGAGUCCCACAACAAUUGAAACUGCAGUAUGUUCCCUUUCUUUUCCAUUGCUGGUCAAGGGCACUCCUAAUGAAGCAAAUGUGGCACCUGUUAAUCAAAGGGGCUGAAGUUCUGCCUGAGAAGUGAGAAAACACUUUUGUUGGACCAAAUCCAUGAGCAUCACACUGGAUGAAGUCUCCAUAUUCUGCUGAAUGACAAGAUAAAUUCUUGACACUCAAAAGAAGGAAGCAAAUGAAAAAGCUUAAAGACUGAUCUUUGCCAACAAUCCUAUCUCAUUUCUUCAACUUUGUAUAUACCAGUUUCCAGGAAAUGGUUGAAGUCUGAAGCUCUCCUCUCACUCACCUGACACCACCAACUGGGAAUGUCCUGACUGAAAUGCUAAAAACCAAAGCUUCAGAUAAGCUUGCAAGAUAAGACACUUUAAGAAACCAGUGUUAAUAUAACAUUAACAAAAGAC
This is a non-coding RNA of Callorhinus ursinus (northern fur seal), 2831 nucleotides long. The record is from RefSeq and is a predicted model, not a curated record. NCBI's taxonomy places the organism in Eukaryota, Metazoa, Chordata, Mammalia, Carnivora, Otariidae.